UUAUCCGGAUUUACUGGGUGUAAAGGGAGCGCAGGCGGCAUGAUAAGUCUGAUGUGAAAACCCAAGGCUCAACCAUGGGACUGCAUUGGAAACUGUCGUGCUGGAGUGUCGGAGAGGUAAGCGGAAUUCCUAGUGUAGCGGUGAAAUGCGUAGAUAUUAGGAGGAACACCAGUGGCGAAGGCGGCUUACUGGACGAUGACUGACGCUGAGGCUCGAAAGCGUGGGGAGCAAACAGGAUUAGAUACCCUGAUAGUCCACGCCGUAAACGAUGAAUACUAGGUGUCGGGGAGCACAGCUCUUCGGUGCCGCAGCAAACGCAGUAAGUAUUCCACCUGGGGAGUACGUUC
Molecule: ribosomal RNA, 347 nt
Filed under: uncultured bacterium
Lineage: Bacteria
Description: bacterial SSU rRNA
Rfam family: Bacterial small subunit ribosomal RNA
Source: RNAcentral